UUCCACGCCGUAAACGAUGAUGGCUAACCGCCGGCGACACACUGUCGGUGGCCAAGCGAAAGCGAUAAUCCAUCCACCUGGGGAGUACGUCGGCAACGAUGAAACUCAAAGGAAUUGACGGGGGCCCGCACAAGCGGUGGAGCAUGUGGUUUAAUUCGAUGAUACGCGAGGAACCUUACCAGGGCUUAAAUGUAGAUUGACAGGACUGGAAACAGUUUUUUCUCGGACAAUUUACAAGGUGCUGCAUGGUUGUCGU
Molecule: ribosomal RNA, 256 nt
Filed under: uncultured bacterium
Lineage: Bacteria
Description: partial 16S ribosomal RNA
Rfam family: Bacterial small subunit ribosomal RNA
Source: RNAcentral